GGGAACAUUGCGGCAGGCCUACACAUGCAAGUCGAACGGUAACAGGAAGCAGCUUGCUUCUUCGCUGACGAGUGGCGGACGGGUGAGUAAUGUCUGGGAAACUGCCUGAUGGAGGGGGAUAACUACUGGAAACGGUAGCUAAUACCGCAUAACGUCGCAAGACCAAAGAGGGGGACCUUCGGGCCUCUUGCCAUCGGAUGUGCCCAGAUGGGAUUAGCUAGUAGGUGGGGUAACGGCUCACCUAGGCGACGAUCCCUAGCUGGUCUGAGAGGAUGACCAGCCACACUGGAACUGAGACACGGUCCAGACUCCUACGGGAGGCAGCAGUGGGGAAUAUUGCACAAUGGGCGCAAGCCUGAUGCAGCCAUGCCGCGUGUAUGAAGAAGGCCUUCGGGUUGUAAAGUACUUUCAGCGGGGAGGAAGGGAGUGAAGUUAAUACCUUUGCUCAUUGACGUUACCCGCACAAGAAGCACCGGCUUACUCCGUGCCGGCAGCCUAGUAAUACAGGCGGUGCAAGCGUUUACGGUUCUUACUGGGGGUGAGACACACAAAGCGGGCAUUACAGGCAGAGGUGCGGGCGCGGGGCUGAGCUGGGAAGCGCGUCGAGCAGGCAAGAAGACCACCUGUGGGUGGUGUCGUGCCGAAUCGCGGUGUAAGCAACGAGACGUAAGAACUUAAACGGAUAGAAAAGACCAUGGAGGAGAACUAGGAUUGUGGCGGCAGAUAGCCGUCCCUGAGAUCAACAGAUCUCGCGUCAAGGAUGGAGAGGUACCGGAGUGGCUGGACUGGCACGUAGAGAACACUGCCACUAGAGACAAGA
RNAcentral lists this ribosomal RNA (820 nucleotides) under uncultured Escherichia sp. Its description in RNAcentral is "bacterial SSU rRNA". The stretch from base 3 to 521 matches the Rfam family "Bacterial small subunit ribosomal RNA", at positions 31 to 542 of the family's 1533-position model. Lineage: Bacteria; Pseudomonadati; Pseudomonadota; Gammaproteobacteria; Enterobacterales; Enterobacteriaceae. The record is from RNAcentral.